This 68-nucleotide transfer RNA is filed under the name Tibia fusus. RNAcentral describes it as "tRNA-Cys". It matches the Rfam family "tRNA". Rfam says of the family: Transfer RNA (tRNA) molecules are approximately 80 nucleotides in length. The record is from RNAcentral. Lineage: Eukaryota; Metazoa; Mollusca; Gastropoda; Littorinimorpha; Rostellariidae.
CCCACUAUAGUUUAUUUAUAAAACAUUGAAUUGCAAAUUCGAAAAAGGAACUUAAUUUCCUAGUGAGU